GUCCACGCCCUAAACGAUGUCGACUGGUUGUUGGGGGUUUGACACUCUCAGUAACGAAGCUAACGCGUGAAGUCGACCGCCUGGGGAGUACGGCCGCAAGGUUAAAACUCAAAGGAAUUGACGGGGACCCGCACAAGCGGUGGAUUAUGUGGAUUAAUUCGAUGCAACGCGAAAAACCUUACCUACCCUUGACAUGUCCGAGAGCCCGAAGAGAUUUGGGUGUGCCCGAAAGGGAAUCGGAACACAGGUGCUGCAUGGCUGUCGU
Molecule: ribosomal RNA, 265 nt
Filed under: uncultured bacterium
Lineage: Bacteria
Description: partial 16S ribosomal RNA
Rfam family: Bacterial small subunit ribosomal RNA
Source: RNAcentral